This 6331-nucleotide small RNA is filed under the name Pongo abelii (Sumatran orangutan). Its description in RNAcentral is "retained intron". Lineage: Eukaryota; Metazoa; Chordata; Mammalia; Primates; Hominidae. The record is from RNAcentral.
UUGUAACCUCUACUGUACAAUUCCAGCAGGGAAGGAGCUCAACACUGAAUUCUAAAGCUAUGCAUUUGACUGUUUUCUUUCUCCUUAACCUUUUCAUAGCAGGGGUGAGCAACCGGAUGCUGAGGAGGGAAAAACUGGGCAAAUUAAAGGGGAAUGAGCUUCAGACCCCAUGCAGAGCUGGCUGUGAGUCCAGGUUUCACUGCUCACCAGCUGCAUGACCUUGAGCAUGUGACUCCCCCACUCUGAGCUGCAGUGGCCUCAGUGCGACACCUGGGUGGUGGUUAAAAACCUCGUGAUCCACAAAUGAAGGCCCUUGUUAUUAGUUGGCAAAAAAUUAAGGAAAAACAAAGAACACCAUGGCCUUGAAGAAUGUUGGGCAGGAGACUGCUCCUCCUCUGGAGGAAAGUGAAGACAGGAGGCUGUCACAUCGUCUCUGACAUGGAGAGUGGCUUUGGGGCCAUCUGUAGGGGAAGGACACAGAGCUCUUGAGCCCCCUUCUAGACUCAAGGUUGGCCUUUUACAGGGGUGAAGGAGGUAGCCACCAAAAGGGAAUGAUUUGCAGGCCACCAGAAAUGUGCCUGAGGUCCCACCUGUGGACCCUCCAUUUUUGGACCCUGUUCCCUUUCAAUGCCAGUACUCUUUUCUUUUUUCUUUUCUUUUUUUUUUUUAGACGGAGUUUCCUUCUUGUUGCCCAGGCUACAGUGCAGUGGCAUAAUCUCAGCUCACUGCAACUGAUUCAAGCGAUUCUCCUGUCUCAGCCUCCUGAGUAGCUGGGAUUACAGGCGCCCGCCACCAUGCCCAGCUAAUUUUUUGUAUUUUUAGUGAAGAUGGGGUUUCACCAUGUUGGUCAGGCUGAGCUCGAACUCCUGACCUCAGGUGAUCCACCCAUCUCAGCCUCCCAAAGUGCUGGGAUUACAGGUGUGAGCCACCGAGCCUGGCCCAGAACUCUUAGAAGUAGAAUGUCAGGGUUGAAAGAGCUUUUAGGAUUUUCGACAGUUAUGGUAGAGUAUUAUUGGUCACUAUAAGAUGUUACUGGGAAUGGAACUACUGGCUGUUUUCCAACUGACUGUUCCGUCAGGGUGGGGAGAGGUCUCAGCACGAGGCCCCGCCGAGAUGUUGGUGGGUGGUCAGCCACGUGGGCUGCUCACUCCUGGUUCACCCACUGUGUUCCUGUCAGUGAAGCAAACAUCCCCAUUUGGCAGGAGAAGAAGCUGCCGAAGGUCACAUUGCGAGUGAGCGGUGGCCCAGGGGUAGGGCAGCCUUCUUUCCUCUGCAGUUCACUGCUCCAGGACCAUCUCCAGCCUCGUAGCUCACCGUGGACAGCCCUGCGGUGUGGCGCUGAUGUACAGAGUGAUGCCAGGCGUUCAUCUCCCCGCUGAGCUCCUGCUGAGUGUUUGCCUGGGGCCAGGCCCUCCUUCCGGGAAGUCAUGUUAGCUGGAAAGAACAGGGUGGGGGUGGGUGGCAAGGGAUCAGAGCGUGAGCGUCUGAGGGCUUCGUCAGGGGCAGUGAGGAGCCUCUAAAGGACUCUACACUUAGGAAUGACAGAGUCAAACAAUUUAACAAAACCCUAAGGGUUCCUUCCAGGAAAGAAUGAGCCCCAUGUAUCACCAUAAGCAACUUCUUAGAAACAUAACCCACCCCUGUCAUCCCAGCACUUUGGGAGGCCAAGGAGGGAGGACUGCUUGAAACCAGGAGCUCAAGAUCAACCUGGUCAACAUAGUGAGACCCCAUCUCUACAAAAAUAAAAAUAAAUUAGCCGGGCAUAGUGGCACACACCUGGAGUCCCAGCUACUCAGGAGGCUGAGGCAGGAGGAUCACAUAAGCCGGGGAGACUGAGGCUGCAGUGAGCUGUGAUGGCAUCACUGCACUCCAGCCUGGGCAACAGAGUGAGACCUUGUCUCUAAAAAAAGAAUAAUAAAUUUUAAAAAACAAAAUAUAACCCACCUUAGAAUUGAUUCAGGCCUCUUCCCCUCCUGUCACGUUGCCAGGAUCCCAGGACGCUGGUAUCCUGCAUAGAUUUCAGGUACAUCACCGAUGUCCUGACUGAGGAGGAUGCCCUAGGUGAGUUUGGAAGCUUUCUGGGAUACACGAUGUGCACACACAGUAGUGGCAUGCUUUGUUUCCUAAAAGAGUGAGUAAUGCUUUUUAUUUCUUCCAGAAAUACUGCAGAAAGGUCAAGUUGGUAAAAAAGAAAGAGGUGGGUUGUAAGAAAAUUUUCUUCAUUGUUUUUGCUAACAUUGUCCACUUUUGAGUGCCCCUGUCCUUUUGGGGUACACGUUGUCCUCCCAAAUGCCCUGUGCUGAGCAGCUAGGCCCUCAAAUCAACAUUCAAGUCUGCAUGGUGAAGCCUCCUGGGUAUGACCUCUGACUGCAGAGUUUGCUUCAGCCACUGCUGAAAGGAAGUUUGGCUUUAGGAUUAAACUGUAGGGAGGGCCCCUGGGGAGCAGGGCAGUCCGUGAGAGUAUCCUGAUCACCUGGGUUUGACAUCCUAGUAAUUUGUGGCUGGGUGUGUGUGAAGGGCCGGGUCAGGAGAACAGCUGGACUCUCCAGGGGAAACAGCUUAGCUACAGGCACUUCCAAUUCCGAAGGGCCCUGGAAAGUGCAAAAUGUUGACGGCGCUGUGUUUUCACAGAGAAGCAAAUGCUGGCACAAGGCUACCCUGCUUACACGACAUCGUGCGCCUGGCUGGGGUACUCAGAUGACACGUUGAAGCAGCUCUGUGCCCAGGCGCUGAAGGAUGGCUGGACCAGGUUUAAAGUAAAGGUGGGUGCUGAUCUCCAGGAUGACGUGCGAAGAUGCCAAAUCAUCCGAGACAUGAUUGGACUGGAGAAGACUUUGAUGAUGGAUGCCAACCAGCGCUGGGAUGUGCCUGAGGCGGUGGAGUGGAUGUCCAAGCUGGCCAAGUUCAAGCCAUUGUGGAUUGAGGAGCCAACCUCCCCUGAUGACAUUCUGGGGCACGCCACCAUUUCCAAGGCACUGGUCCCAUUAGGAAUUGGCAUUGCCACAGGAGAACAGUGCCACAAUAGAGUGAUAUUUAAGCAACUCCUACAGGCGAAGGCCCUGCAGUUCCUCCAGAUUGACAGUUGCAGACUGGGCAGUGUCAAUGAGAACCUCUCAGUAUUGCUGAUGGCCAAAAAGUUUGAAAUUCCUGUUUGCCCCCAUGCUGGUGGAGUUGGCCUCUGUGAACUGGUGCAGCACCUGAUUAUAUUUGACUACAUAUCAGUCUCUGCAAGCCUUGAAAACAGGAUGUGUGAGUAUGUUGACCACCUGCACGAGCAUUUCAAGUAUCCCGUGAUGAUCCAGCGGGCUUCCUACAUGCCUCCCAAGGAUCCCGGCUACUCAACAGAAAUGAAGGAGGAAUCUGUAAAGAAACACCAGUAUCCAGAUGGUGAAGUUUGGAAGAAACUCCUUGCUGCUCAAGAAAAUUAAGUGCUCAGCCCCAACAUCUUUUUUCUUUGUGAAGUGAAAAGGCUUAAAAUUUCUUGGAAAUAGUUUUACAAAAAUGGAUUUAAAAAAAUCCUGUGGAUCAAGAUUAGUUCAGCUAAAAGUCAUACCACCCUCAGGAAUCAGCUAAAGCAAAAAGAACUUUUACCUCGGCAUCCAGCCCAACCCCUAAAGACUGACAAUAUCCUUCGAGCUCCUUUGAAAGCACCCUAAACAGCCAUUUCCAUUUUAAUAGUUGGAUGUGGAUUGUACCCUUCAAUCUGAAAGUCUUCAGCUUUGAAGUCAUCAAUUUUCUCAACUUUUCGAAGAAUCUUGAGCUUUGGGAAAGGUCUGGGUUCUCGCUGAAGCUAAAAACAAAAUAAGACCAUUAUUUUGCCAUAAUUGUACAACCUGUUGUAAUUGCUCCUCACAUCCAUGAAACAAGUACACAGGAUGUGAUCAACAAAGUUUUAUUUUACAGGAGUAUGAUCCUGUCGAUACCUUGCCGUAGGUUAUGUAACAUGAUUGGAGCGCAACGAGCUGCUUUCUUGCACAGAUCAAGAGUGAAGGGUAUUUUGUGACAUUACACAGUGUCAGGAGCCUGGUGCCUCAUCAGGUGUAAGUUCUUAUAAUCACUCUUGGCAAAUUUAUUAAAGAUAGGAACACAGUCAAUCUGUAACUCAUGGUAGCUCUACGUUUACUUGAAUUCCACAAUCCCUAAGCCAUCUAUCCCUGGCAGGAAGAAGGAAAGAUGACAUGCAUGGACAGUGAACAGAAAGAGAUGAAAGCCAGGAUUCCUGGGAUGAACAGACAGUGGCAAUUAGGAUGUGAAGACAGGUCACAACCUAUUACUAUGUCUAAAAACGACUGGAGCAGAGAGCCAGAGAGAAUAAGCCUGAAGUCACCUCCACUCAGGAGCAGCCAAACUCCCUCAAAGGAGUAACUUUUAAAACCUGGAUCUAACCUGGAAGGGGCUAAAAAGUUUCCGAUUCUGAGUUUUUUUCCUUAAGGCUCAUGAAGCAGAUGAACUUACAUUUUUAUUGCCAUUUCAAAUCAAUUGUUGGCUGCUAUAACUUAGGGAUUUCAACAGACUUUUGAAGUUUGGACCUAAAUAUUGUACUUAAUGUAAAAUUAACAAAAAAUAUUUAUGGUCAGGGCGGUGGCUUAUGCCUGUAAUUCCAGAACUUUCGGAGGCUGAGGCAGGCGGAUCACCUGAAGUCAGGAGUUUGAGACCAGCCUGGCCAACAUGACGAAAUCCCAUCUCUACUAAUAAUACAAAAAUUAGCUGGGUGUGGUGGCAUGUGCCUGUAAUCCCAGCUACAUGGGAGGCUGAGGCAGAAGAAUUGCUUGAACCCGGGAGGCGGAGGUUGCAGUGAGCUGAGAUCGUACCACUGCACACUCCAGCCUGGCCAACAGAGAAAGACUCCGUCUCAAAAAAAAAAAAGGAAAAACAUUUGCACUUCAGUUCUCCUUCAAGUUAAAAUGAGUUAAAAUGCCCCCUUUUGGACAAUCCCCUGGCUUGAAUGCGGCUCUUCCCUCUCUGGUACUGGUGCUUGGUACCUCACAGCACCUGACAUGUUAAGUGCCCAUGGUUGCUGAGGCAGAUGCCUGCCUUGUCCUGCCCACCUAACCACCACUUCUCCCUAAACCGAAGCCCCACAUUCGGAGCAGUCAUCUUCAUCUUGGACACAGCAUUGAGCACAUGCCUGUUCCACAAUCAACUUUUUAUCAAGAGAAGGUACCAAACCCAAAAGUAGAACAUCUAAUUCUUACCUGAAUUUUCAGUGGCUCAAUGUGAUUCAGGUAAAUAUGUGCAUCUCCCAAAGUGUGUAUAAAGUCACCUGGCUAUAAACCCGGGGGAGAAAGCACAACAGUAUGUUAGUUUCAAUUCCUUUAAAACAUCAUUUAAAAACAUUAGAAUAUGCAGACACCGCAAGGCUUUUAAAAAAAAAAUAAUUUAGUGUAGCUUUUCCAUUUUUUUGUAGCGACAGCAUCUUGUUAUGUUGCCCAGGCUGGUAUUGAACUCCAGACCUCAAGCAAUUGCUCCUGCCUCAGUCUCCCAAAGUGCUGGGAUUACAGGCAUGAGCCACCAUACCCAACCUCAGCAUAGCUUUUGAGAAAAUCCAUAGAAGCUGUAUCACAAACAACCUGUAUAGAUCUGUUAGUGCAUAUACCACAGGGCCAGAAAACCUUCCAGAAAAGGAAGGUUUCAAAGUAAAAGCCGGUUCAUGUCUUACUUACACAUAUCAAAUUUGAAAGCUAAUCAGAGACUAAACUCUCUGCAAUUUGUUUUCCCAUAUUAAAGAAGUGAAGAGCUCAGUGUGUUAGGCUGGCAAGUCACCCUUCCCGAGACAGCCCACCUUCAGGCCCGUGAUGUGCGCAAUCAUGUACGUGAGCAGGGCGUAGCUGGCGAUGUUGAAAGGCACACCUAGGCCCAUGUCUCCCGAUCUCUGGUACAGCUGGCAGGACAGCUCACUGUUCACCACAUAGAACUGGCAGAGGGCAUGGCAUGGAGGCAGCGCCAUCAGAGGAAGAUCUGAGGAACCAGCAGAGGAAGAUAAGGAGGGGUGGUGGUUUGAAAGACCACAGCUAAAGGCAAAGUAAAACAGGAGAGAAACAGAAGCCAACUCAUAUGGUGGAGACCAGGAGAGAGAGCCACUAGGCUGCAGUGAUGUCCAUAACCCACAGCCCCUGCAGCGAUGGCAUGGAGCUGAGGGAGACUAUCCAUCGGUGCAAGGUUUCUGCAGAUGUCCAUUUACAGCUGAAGCAAUGCUCUUCCAUCAGAGCUGAAGAGAUCUGGGCUACCUUCGUGGCACCAAAUUACAAAUACAGCAGGAAUAAUUCUGUUUGCCACAGGAAACUGGUGCUUCUGGUACACCCUCCUAUAUUAAAAGUCUCUAUUACAUGGC